CAACACAUUAAUCACCAGCUUCUGUGGCAGGCUGACUAGCAAUAGGCAUUGUUAACAAAACUUUUCUAAUAUGUCACUCUUCUCUAUGACAGCCUGUAAUCAAUCAUCGUGAUUGACAGUGCUGAUAGAUUACACUAUUUAUACUUUUUGUAAUGAAAGAUAGCGUUUCCACCUACUGUCAUUUCUAGGCUAGCAAUGGAGGGAUCGUUGAAUAGAAACAAACACAACAGCUCAGUCCUCAGCUCAGCAUUUGUGAAGUUAAAGUAAAGGCAGCGCUGAGGGUCCUUUUGUGGCAGACGUCAUAGGAGAACUAUUGUUAGGUAACCUGGUUAAAGCAGCACUCUUUCUGAACAUCGCAGGAUAUCGCUUUGAUGGUGACUUUGUCUCAUUUGCUGUCAGGUCAGGUUCAGGCAGGGUUUUUAAAUAUACAAACACACAAAAACAUAACUACAUCUGGCAACUUGAGUGCUAGACAACAGUGGGAUUAUCUGCAAACUGGACCCAUGGAAUUGAAGCCCAUGUAACCAACCAGGUGUCCACCAUGCACUGAUCAAGACCACAUGAUGGGACAGUAGCAUGACUGAAAGUGUUGGUUCCCCAUAUCUAC
This 607-nucleotide long non-coding RNA is filed under the name Salvator merianae (Argentine black and white tegu). Its description in RNAcentral is "lncRNA (ENSSMRG00000002391.1)". Lineage: Eukaryota; Metazoa; Chordata; Lepidosauria; Squamata; Teiidae. The record is from RNAcentral.